RNAcentral lists this ribosomal RNA (397 nucleotides) under uncultured bacterium. Its description in RNAcentral is "bacterial SSU rRNA". It matches the Rfam family "Bacterial small subunit ribosomal RNA", at positions 362 to 776 of the family's 1533-position model. The record is from RNAcentral.
UAUUGCACAAUGGGGGAAACCCUGAUGCAGCGACGCCGCGUGAGCGAAGAAGUAUUUCGGUAUGUAAAGCUCUAUCAGCAGGGAAGAAAAUGACGGUACCUGACUAAGAAGCACCGGCUAAAUACGUGCCAGCAGCCGCGGUAAUACGCAUGGUGCAAGCGUUAUCCGGAUUUACUGGGUGUAAAGGGAGCGUAGACGGUUGUGUAAGUCUGAUGUGGAAGCCCGGGGCUCAACCCCGGGACUGCAUUGGAAACUAUGUAGCUAGAGGGUCGGAGAGGUAAGCGGAAUUCCUAGUGUAGCGGUGGAAUGCGUAGAUAUUAGGAGGAACACCAGUGGCGAAGGCGGCUUACUGGACGAUCGCUGACGUUGAGGCUCGAAAGCGUGGGGAGCAAACAGG